CUUGCUUUCUUUGCUGGCGACCGGCGCACGGGUGAGUAACACGUAUCCAACCUGCCCUUUACUCGGGGAUAGCCUUUCGAAAGAAAGAUUAAUACCCGAUAGCAUAAUGAUUCCGCAUGGUUUCAUUAUUAAAGGAUUCCGGUAAAGGAUGGGGAUGCGUUCCAUUAGGUUGUUGGUGAGGUAACGGCCCACCAAGCCUUCGGUGGAUAGGGGUUCUGAGAGGAAGGUCCCCCACAUUGGAACUGAGACACGGUCCAA
Molecule: ribosomal RNA, 258 nt
Filed under: uncultured bacterium
Lineage: Bacteria
Description: partial 16S ribosomal RNA
Rfam family: Bacterial small subunit ribosomal RNA
Source: RNAcentral